RNAcentral lists this ribosomal RNA (571 nucleotides) under Leptodactylus latrans (criolla frog). RNAcentral describes it as "partial large subunit ribosomal RNA". It matches the Rfam family "Bacterial large subunit ribosomal RNA", at positions 1819 to 2597 of the family's 2925-position model. The record is from RNAcentral. Lineage: Eukaryota; Metazoa; Chordata; Amphibia; Anura; Leptodactylidae.
CGCCUCUUGAAUAUUAUAAGAGGUCCAGCCUGCCCAGUGACUCUGUUCAACGGCCGCGGUAUCCUAACCGUGCGAAGGUAGCGUAAUCACUUGUUCUUUAAAUGAGGACUAGUAUGAAUGGCACCACGAAGGUUAUACUGUCUCCUUUCUUUAAUCAGUGAAACUAAUCUCUCCGUGAAGAAGCGGGGAUAUAAUUAUAAGACGAGAAGACCCUAUGGAGCUUUAAACGUAAGUAACAAUUGCCCGCCAUAAUAUUCUUCCCCGGAAAUUAACCAUAAUACUUAGGCAUCUUGAUUACAAGUUUUAGGUUGGGGUGACCGCGGAGCAGAGAAUAACCUCCGCAGUGAAUGGAACUUAUUUCCUAAACCCAGGGCUACGACCCUAAGCAUCAAUAAAUUGACACUAAUUGACCCAAUAUUUUGAUCAAUGAACCAAGUUACCCUAGGGAUAACAGCGCAAUCCACUUCAAGAGCCCCUAUCGACAAGUGGGUUUACGACCUCGAUGUUGGAUCAGGGUAUCCCAGUGGUGCAGCCGCUACUAAAGGUUCGUUUGUUCAACGAUUAAAACCCU